AGAGUUUGAUUAUGGCUCAGGAUGAACGCUAGCUACAGGCUUAACACAUGCAAGUCGAGGGGCAGCAUGAACUUAGCUUGCUAAGUUUGAUGGCGACCGGCGCACGGGUGAGUAACACGUAUCCAACCUUCCGUUUACUCAGGGAUAGCCUUUCGAAAGAAAGAUUAAUACCUGAUAGUAUGGUGAGAUUGCAUGAUAACACCAUUAAAGAUUUAUUGGUAAACGAUGGGGAUGCGUUCCAUUAGGUAGUAGGCGGGGUAACGGCCCACCUAGCCUGCGAUGGAUAGGGGUUCUGAGAGGAAGGUCCCCCACAUUGGAACUGAGACACGGUCCAA
RNAcentral lists this ribosomal RNA (335 nucleotides) under uncultured bacterium. Its description in RNAcentral is "bacterial SSU rRNA". It matches the Rfam family "Bacterial small subunit ribosomal RNA", at positions 8 to 334 of the family's 1533-position model. The record is from RNAcentral.